Molecule: long non-coding RNA, 1190 nt
Organism: Symphalangus syndactylus (siamang)
Lineage: Eukaryota; Metazoa; Chordata; Mammalia; Primates; Hylobatidae
Source: RefSeq, a predicted model, not a curated record
GCGGCCCCAGGGGAUGUGGGGCUGACUGUGGUCACACAGGGGAUGUGGGGCUGACUGUGGUCACACAGGUGUUCAGCACACCUGCCUGCAGGUAAACCUUGCCUCCUUACUUACCAAAGCCUAAUUGUGAGGGUGGUCUUUGGGCAGCUGCACACAUGAUCUCUUAUCACACAAAGAGCCACUUUAAAACCAUUAAGACAAAAGCUAACCCAGGGUGUAUGAAGAAGAAAAACGUUGGGACUUAAAUGAAUUGUGGAGCUGCUGUUUCAAUCUGCCUUGCCUAACUGUGGGCUGCUGGUUUUAUGCAAAAGGUAACUACGCAAAGAAGAUGGUAAAAAGGCUUAUUUUAUAAAAGAAGGAGGCUGGGACAGCUGAGUGGAUAACGAUGCUUUUGGGGGACCAGCUGGGUAAAGAUGGAGGAGGGGCCCAGGUGGUGUCUCUGGCCUUCCAGAAAAGCUGCAGAAGGAAAGGUGAAGUCCAGAGUCCCCACAGAUGUCUUUGAAUUGAGGAGAGGAGAAAGAAGAGGAAUGAUUUUUUAAAAACCGUAAAACGGAGGUUAUCCAGUGCCUUCAAGACUGAACUUUAUUAUAGUUUCCACGACAAGUAGCUGGAGAAAGUGCAGCCAAGACUGCAAAGUGGACGGCCGUGCAGUGCCGAAGGUGCGGGAAGGCAGAGGGGUGGCCCCGUGGCCCCUCAGCCCAGGAGUCUCGAGCCAGUGGCUCCUGGGGCUGUGGGUUGAAAACAGGCCAGCGGCUUCUAGCACGUCCCUUGCGAUGUUCUUCACCUUCUCCCGAGGAUGCGUCCCUCGCGAUGCUCUCCCAUGUUCUCCUGAGGAUACGCAGCUUUCGGCCAUGGCAGCAGUCAGAGCUGUCAGCCCACACAAAAGAGGAGAGUCUGAGCCUUUAGUUUGAUGAACACAUUUAUGUGAUGGGAUGAACAUCAGAGCCCGCAGCUCUCGGCCCUGCUGGUGGCAGAGGCUUUGUACCGUGUGACAAUGACCUGGAUAUGGAAGCAGAAGGGAGCUUCCAAGGACUGGAAGCUGAGAGUCUCUCUCCUGUCCUGGCGCAGACACUGGGGUUCAGGAUCCAGUUCCUGUUGCCCUGCAGCUAAUCAGCUUCACCAGACAUGGACCUCCAAGCUUAGGGAUGCACGAAUCUGAAAUCCAAGUCAUGGUUGUAAUAGUGAUAAUA